UACGGAGGGAGCUAGCGUUGUUCGGAAUUACUGGGCGUAAAGCGCACGUAGGCGGCUUUGUAAGUUAGAGGUGAAAGCCCGGAGCUCAACUCCGGAACUGCCUUUAAGACUGCAUCGCUUGAAUCCAGGAGAGGUGAGUGGAAUUCCGGGUGUAGAGGUGAAAUUCGUAGAUAUUCGCAAGAACACCAGUGGCGAAGGCGGCUCACUGGCCCGAUACUGACGCUGAGGCACGAAAGCGUGGGGAGCAAACGGG
RNAcentral lists this ribosomal RNA (253 nucleotides) under uncultured bacterium. RNAcentral's name for it is "partial 16S ribosomal RNA". It matches the Rfam family "Bacterial small subunit ribosomal RNA", at positions 524 to 776 of the family's 1533-position model. The record is from RNAcentral.